GGUUGAUCCUGCCAGUAGUCUUAUGCUUGUCUCAAAGAUUAAGCCAUGCAUGUCUAAGUACACACUUUGGUAAAGUGAAACCGCGAAUGGCUCAUUAAAUCAGCUACAAUUUAUUAGAUCGUACACUGUUACUUGGAUAACUGUGGGAAUUCUAGAGCUAAUACAUGCCGAGAGUCUCUGCUCUUCGGGGCAGAGCGCAGUUAUUAGACCAAAACCAGCCGUAUCUUUCGGGGUAUGCUCUUUUGGUGACUCUGGAUAACCUUCAGCCGAUCGCAUGGCCUCGUGCCGGCGACGUAUCUUUCAAGUGUCUGCCCUAUCAACUUUCGAUGGUACGUGAUAUGCCUACCAUGGUGAUAACGGGUAACGGGGAAUCAGGGUUCGAUUCCGGAGAGGGAGCCUGAGAAAUGGCUACCACAUCCAAGGAUGGCAGCAGGCGCGCAAAUUACCCACUCCCAGCUUGGAGGUAGUGACGAAAAAUAACAAUGCGGGACUCUAAGAGGCCCCGUAAUUGGAAUGAGUACACCUUAAAUCGUUUAACGAGUAUCAAUUGGAGGGCAAGUCUGGUGCCAGCAGCCGCGGUAAUUCCAGCUCCAAUAGCGUAUAUUAAAGUUGCUGCAGUUAAAAAGCUCGUAGUUGGAUCUGGGGCUUGAGGUCGCUGUCUAUCGUUUCGGCGAUGACGGUGAUGCUCAGCUCUGCUUGCCGGUGACUGUUGCGGUGUUCUUCAGUGAGCGCUGUAGCAGCACGGCACGUUUACUUUGAAAAAAUUAGAGUGCUCAAAGCGUGCUUGUCGCUUGAAUAAUGUUGCAUGGAAUAAUGGAAUAGGACCUCGGUUCUAUUUUGUUGGUUUUCGGAGCUUGAGGUAAUGAUUAAGAGGGACGAACGGGGGCACUCGUAUUGCGGUGUUAGAGGUGAAAUUCUUGGAUCGCCGCAAGACGGACUACUGCGAAAGCAUUUGCCAAGAACGCUUUCAUUAAUUAAGAACGAAAGUCAGAGGUUCGAAGACGAUCAGACACCGUCCUAGUUCUGACCAUAAACGAUGCCGACCAGCGAUCCGUAGUGGUUGCUUUAUGGACCCUACGGGCAGCCUCCGGGAAACCAAAGUAUUUGGGUUCCGGGGGAAGUAUGGUUGCAAAGCUGAAACUUAAAGGAAUUGACGGAAGGGCACACCAGGAGUGGAGCCUGCGGCUUAAUUUGACCCAACACGGGAAAACUCACCCGGUCCGGACACCGUAAGGAUUGACAGACUGAUAGCUCUUUCUUGAUUCGGUGGAUGGUGGUGCAUGGCCGUUCUUAGUUGGUGGAGUGAUUUGUCUGGUUAAUUCCGAUAACGAACGAGACUCUAGCCUGCUAAGUAGUGUGUCUAUUG
RNAcentral lists this ribosomal RNA (1366 nucleotides) under metagenome. RNAcentral's name for it is "SSU rRNA". It matches the Rfam family "Eukaryotic small subunit ribosomal RNA", at positions 6 to 1369 of the family's 1831-position model. The record is from RNAcentral.